Molecule: ribosomal RNA, 200 nt
Filed under: uncultured Glomus
Lineage: Eukaryota; Fungi; Glomeromycota; Glomeromycetes; Glomerales; Glomeraceae
Description: partial small subunit ribosomal RNA
Rfam family: Eukaryotic small subunit ribosomal RNA
Source: RNAcentral
CCAAUAGCGUAUAUUAAAGUUGUUGCAGUUAAAAAGCUCGUAGUUGAAUUUCGGGAUCAAUUUAUUGGUCGUGCUAUUGUACGUACUGGUAUUAUUGAUUCCUACCUUCUGACGAACCAUGAUGUCAUUAAUUUGGUGUCUUGGGGAAUCAGGACUGUUACUUUGAAAAAAUUAGAGUGUUUAAAGCAGGCUCACGCUUG